GAAAUGCGAUAAGUAAUGUGAAUUGCAGAAUUCAGUGAAUCAUCGAAUCUUUGAACGCACCUUGCGCUCCUUGGUAUUCCGAGGAGCAUGCCUGUUUGAGUGUCAUGGAAUUCUCAACUCUAUUUGCUUUUGUGAAUAGAGCUUGGAUUUGGAGGUUUAUUGCUGGUACUUGUGAUCGGCUCCUCUUGAAUGCAUUAGCUCGAACCUUUGCGGAUCAGCUAUCGGUGUGAUAAUUGUCUACGCCGUUGCAGUGAAGCAUAUCAAUGGGCUCGGCUUCCAAUCGUCCUUUACUGGACAAUGACGUUGACCUUUGACCUCAAAUCAGGUAGGAUUACCCGCUGAACUUAAGC
Molecule: unclassified non-coding RNA, 350 nt
Filed under: plant metagenome
Description: partial contains 5.8S ribosomal RNA, internal transcribed spacer 2, and large subunit ribosomal RNA
Rfam family: 5.8S ribosomal RNA (bases 1-105)
Source: RNAcentral